RNAcentral lists this ribosomal RNA (468 nucleotides) under uncultured bacterium. RNAcentral's name for it is "partial 16S ribosomal RNA". It matches the Rfam family "Bacterial small subunit ribosomal RNA", at positions 28 to 507 of the family's 1533-position model. The record is from RNAcentral.
GACGAACGCUGGCGGCGUGCUUAACACAUGCGAGUCGAACGGAAAGGCCCUGCUUUUGUGGGGUGCUCGAGUGGCGAACGGGUGAGUAUCACGUGAGUAACCUGCCCUUGACUUUGGGAUAACUUCAGGAAACUGGGGCUAAUACCGGAUAGGAGCUCCUGCUGCAUGGUGGGGGUUGGAAAGUUUCGGCGGUUGGGGAUGGACUCGCGGCUUAUCUGCUUGUUGGUGGGGUAGUGGCUUACCAAGGCUUUGACGGGUAGCCGGCCUGAGAGGGUGACCGGCCACAUUGGGACAGAGAUACGGCCCAGACUCCUACGGGAGGCAGCAGUGAGGAAUAGUGCACAAUGGGCGGCAGCCUGAUGCAGCAACGCCGCGUGCGGGAUGACGGCCUUCGGGUUGUAAACCGCUUUCGCCUGUGACGAAGCGUGAGUGACGGUAAUGGGUAAAGAAGCACCGGCUAACUACGUG